GGGCGGAUAGUUUAGAAGCAGAAUAGCGCCUUCGCAAGGCGUUGACCCGAGUGCGAUUCUCGGUCCGUCCA
RNAcentral lists this transfer RNA (71 nucleotides) under archaeon GW2011_AR20. RNAcentral's name for it is "tRNA-Ala". It matches the Rfam family "tRNA". From Rfam's summary of the family: Transfer RNA (tRNA) molecules are approximately 80 nucleotides in length. RNAcentral also lists the same sequence under 1 other name. The record is from RNAcentral.